Molecule: non-coding RNA, 92 nt
Organism: Mycena rebaudengoi
Lineage: Eukaryota; Fungi; Basidiomycota; Agaricomycetes; Agaricales; Mycenaceae
Source: the annotation of a GenBank genome assembly
ACCCUCGUUGAUUAAUGGUAAAUCAACCACUCCUUUUAGGGGCAUCUGAAUAGGUCCGGUGGGAGUCGGAGGUUCGAACCCUCCCGAGGGCA